GAUGAAGAACGUAGCGAAAUGCGAUAAGUAAUGUGAAUUGCAGAAUUCAGUGAAUCAUCGAAUCUUUGAACGCAUCUUGCGCUCCUUGGUAUUCCGAGGAGCAUGCCUGUUUGAGUGUCAUUUAACUUCUCAACCACAUUGGAUAUUUUUUUUCCGAUGCCGGCUUGGAUGUGGGGGUUGUUUGCAGGCUUUUUGUAACAAAAAAGGUCGGCUCCCCUGAAAUGUAUUAGUGGUAUCUGAGGCUAUUACUAUUAGGUGUGAUAAUUAUCUAUGCCUUUUGGGUAUGCCGCAUGAACAGAUUAUGCUGCUUCUAACGAAAACUAUUUUGAUGAAUUUGACCUCAAAUCAGGUAGGACUACCCGCUGAACUUAAGCAUAUCAAUAAGCGGAGGGA
Molecule: unclassified non-coding RNA, 393 nt
Filed under: soil metagenome
Description: partial contains 5.8S ribosomal RNA, internal transcribed spacer 2, and large subunit ribosomal RNA
Rfam family: 5.8S ribosomal RNA (bases 1-120)
Source: RNAcentral